AGAAGCCAUGGUUUAAUUGCUGCCCAUCAAAUAGUACUGUGUCUUGCAUGUGUAAAUUAGAUUCAUUUUGAGGAAAUAGCUGGUGUGCAGUGCACAUUCCUAAAUGAAUUCAUCAGUUUACAUUAAGGAUCUACCUUCAAAUCCUGUAAUCUGGGAUGCUCUAAAGUGCAUGUCACAGACUAAAGUUAUAAAAAUAACUUCCAAGAAUUUUUAAGAAAUUGUUAUAUACAUGUAUACUGAUAUUGAAUUAAAUUUUAUAAAAUUUCA
Molecule: long non-coding RNA, 267 nt
Organism: Ostrea edulis (European flat oyster)
Lineage: Eukaryota; Metazoa; Mollusca; Bivalvia; Ostreida; Ostreidae
Exons: 2
Source: RefSeq, a predicted model, not a curated record